GGAAGCUGUGGAGGCACUAUUUAUGGAGGUAUUCAAGGCCAUGCCGGAUGAAGCUCUGGACAGUCCAGUGAGAAGCGUCCCUGCCCAUGGCAGGAGGGAUGGAGAUUAUACCCAUCAGAAUGGAGAAAGGAAGGGAGAACAGGAGGGAGUGAGCCAGGAGCUUUAUAUGGUUUAAACAUCUGUUCCCUCAGAGUCGUUCCAUGCCUGCCUGCCUUAUUAGAGGGUUUGGUGCUGGAGUCCUCUGACUGAACGCCAAAGUCCUUCCCUUUGUUUUUCUCAGUGACGUACACAAGAACUUUGAGGUGGUGUAAGAACAGAGGGAUUCAUGGCUAAUAAAUACUUCAUCUAGAUGGGUGAGUGUUUGAGCUAGGCUGUUAGCUUAAUUCUAACCAUAAGGAGCAAUAACCACGGCAUACUUUGGGUGGGAGAAGACAUCAAUCACUGUCACUUUUCAACAAAGGAAAAUGAGUAGAGAUGGAAGAAGCUUUUGAAAACUGGGACUUAAAUUUUCAUCCUGGCUAAUUCUUCUCUGGAUUGCUGGUGUUCCUAAAAGCCAUCUUGCAAGUCUUUUUUUCCAGUGGCAAUGUUACUCCUGUUACUCAGUAAAAUUGGAUGAUUAAUAUGUGCAUUCUGACAAAGGCCGGCUACAGAUACAUUACUUGUAAUAGAACAUAGGGAUACCCUCACUCAUAUCAAUCUCUGGGUAUAUAGGGAGGUUUUCCAAAGUAACUCCCUUGACAUAUUAGGACUGACAUACUUCUGCUGUGCUCUGAAAUUCAUUUUAAAUCUUUCAACUUAGGGAGAAGUAACUGCUGUCACAAAUUAGCAUGCUGUCAUAUUGAGCUCAGAAAGUUCUUUUUCAUGCUCAUUUUAUGUUCCAUUUAUCCUGCUAUUAGUAGAGAAUAAGAAGAUUUACUUUUAAAUGAUUAUGUAAGGUUUAGCGGAGUAAUGAUUUCUUGAUGGAAUUCUUUCUGAUGUGGAAAUGAGUUGCUUCCUGUAUAAAGUUUUGCAUUCACUGUUUUUAAGGAAACAGGACUGGGGCAAAUGUCUGCGCCUCUCAGAAAUCAAAAUAUCUCAGGAGAACAGCUUUUGUUACGAGCAGCUGUACUUGCCUGUCUGGGCUCUGCAGUCAGCUCGAUGUGAGCACAGCUCACCCCUUUGUGCUUUGCACUCCGAGGGUGAGCUCCUGGCUCUGCAGAUGCCAGGAGAGGUUUUGCCCUUGACUCCAGGAAUUCAUGACAUCAACUUCAGCCUUCACAAUGCAGCCUGUCUCCCUGUGGCUCUCUGUUUUCCCUGACAACCUCCU
This is a long non-coding RNA of Tympanuchus pallidicinctus (lesser prairie-chicken), 1306 nucleotides long. RefSeq lists it as uncharacterized. Lineage: Eukaryota; Metazoa; Chordata; Aves; Galliformes; Phasianidae. The record is from RefSeq and is a predicted model, not a curated record. The transcript has 3 exons.